UGGGGAAUAUUGCACAAUGGGCGCAAGCCUGAUGCAGCCAUGUCGCGUGUAUGAAGAAGGCCUUCGGGUUGUAAAGUACUUUCAGCGGGGAGGAAGGCGAUAAGGUUAAUAACCUUGUCGAUUGACGUUACCCGCAGAAGAAGCACCGGCUAACUCCGUGCCAGCAGCCGCGGUAAUACGGAGGGUGCAAGCGUUAAUCGGAAUUACUGGGCGUAAAGCGCACGCAGGCGGUCUGUCAAGUCGGAUGUGAAAUCCCCGGGCUCAACCUGGGAACUGCAUUCGAAACUGGCAGGCUAGAGUCUUGUAGAGGGGGGUAGAAUUCCAGGUGUAGCGGUGAAAUGCGUAGAGAUCUGGAGGAAUACCGGUGGCGAAGGCGGCCCCCUGGACAAAGACUGACGCUCAGGUGCGAAAGCGUGGGGAGCAAACA
RNAcentral lists this ribosomal RNA (427 nucleotides) under uncultured bacterium. Its description in RNAcentral is "partial 16S ribosomal RNA". It matches the Rfam family "Bacterial small subunit ribosomal RNA", at positions 355 to 774 of the family's 1533-position model. RNAcentral also lists the same sequence under 1 other name. The record is from RNAcentral.